AUUGAACGCUGGCGGAAUGCUUUACACAUGCAAGUCGAACGGCAGCACGGACUUCGGUCUGGUGGCGAGUGGCGAACGGGUGAGUAAUGUAUCGGAAUGUGCCCAGUCGUGGGGGAUAACGUAGUGAAAAUUACGCUAAUACCGCAUACGAUCUAUGGAUGAAAGCGGGGGAUCGCAAGGCCUCGCGCGAUUGGAGCGGCCGAUAUCAGAUUAGGUAGUUGGUGGGGUAAAGGCCCACCAAGCCAACGAUCUGUAGCUGGUCUGAGAGGACGACCAGCCACACUGGAACUGGGACACGGUCCAGACUCCUACGGGAGGCAGCAGUGGGGAAUUUUGGACAAUGGGCGAAAGCCUGAUCCAGCCAUUCCGCGUGCAGGAUGAAGGCCCUCGGGUUGUAAACUGCUUUUGUACAGAACGAAAAGGUUUCUACUAAUACUAGGAGCUCAUGACGGUACUGUAAGAAUAAGCACCGGCUAACUACGUGCCAGCCGCCGCCGUAA
Molecule: ribosomal RNA, 500 nt
Filed under: uncultured bacterium
Lineage: Bacteria
Description: partial 16S ribosomal RNA
Rfam family: Bacterial small subunit ribosomal RNA
Source: RNAcentral